AAAUUUUCAAUUGCACAGUUUUGCGCAAUAGCAAGAAAUAUUCAAUUGCACAGUAUUGUCCCGUUUUCAAAUUGGUCUACAUUAAGGUCCAAAGGGUCAAAAAUUAAACUUUGUUUGAUUUCAACAAAAAAUGAAUAUAUGGGGUUCUUCAAUGUGCUGAAUCUAACCAUGUAUUUAGAUUUUUAAUAUUUGGGUCCAGUUAUCCAAAUGGUCAACAUUGAGGGAUAAAGGGUCUAAAAUUAAAGAUUAUUUGAUUUCAUCAAAAAUUGAAUUCUUG
RNAcentral lists this long non-coding RNA (277 nucleotides) under Mytilus galloprovincialis (Mediterranean mussel). Lineage: Eukaryota; Metazoa; Mollusca; Bivalvia; Mytilida; Mytilidae. The record is from RNAcentral.